CUUUGUUUCAUUUUAUUUAGAAAAUAAUAUAAUUCUGUCAUCAGGUCAUCUUAUUAUAAUUAUUUUUUUUUUUUCAAAGACAAAGAAUUUUACCCAAAGCCAGAUGAUCACUGACUGCUCAAGAGCUCCUUCAAGUGAUUGUUUCUUUUUAUAUAUGUUGUCUAGUACAGAAUAUACAUAUUUGAUCACAGAAUACAACCUUGGCACUAAACACUCAUUAUAAUACAAUAUAUCCCAUUUUAGGCAUUUUAAAAGUCCUUAGAUGCAGCACUGGUAUAUAAUAUUGAUGAAGUAAAUCACACCACAUUUUAAAUGAACAAAGACGUCUUUACAAAAGUAACAAUGAUCACCUUUUGUCUGCGAAUAAAAAUAAAGCAAAAUUUCUGUUUGAUUACAGCUGUGGUUACAGUUACCAAGUGGACUGAUGUUGACGUAAUAACCACACUAAACAAAUGUGACAAACCCAACCACAUACAUCCUCUCCAGCCGGGUGAUUCAUAGUGACAUACGACUCCGGUGGUCAUAUUUGCUAACUGACAUACAAUGAAUUGAACAUCUUAACAUGAUAAAAAAUAAACUUACAUCUGAAUAGACCUUCAUUUCAGCUCUCUAUUUUCAAAACACCUCUUUUGGUUUAAGUUCUACACAGAUCUGAAAGGCAAAAUGUGUUGACAUUCCCACCAUCACACACAAAAAGAGACAAACAUAAGCUUAUUUUGUACAAUAUUUCUGCACGCUAAAUCUCCCAUAUCCAGGCAGCAAAGAAAAAAAUUGUAGCAGAUCUAAACAUUCACUCAUUCUCACUCUCUCAUUGCCUCCAACCAUACAUCACUUCAGGGAUCAAAAAGAGCAUAAUAACCAAAUCGGACAAAAUAACAUUCAAAUUAACUAAUAACAUCUAAGUACGAAUAUUUCAGGUAUAUGGAAAGCCAAAUGGCCCACCUAAAGUUUAAGGCAGGAAUAUGCAUAAUAGAGCUGUAAAACCACUACACAUUUACACAUUUUUACUGUCAGUCUUCCCUUCAAACCUGCUUUUAAAAAGCCACCAAAGUGGUCAAAAAAUUCCCAUAACUUUUUAUAAAAAGGUGAUUACUUCCUGACAUGCCCUUUAUAGUGCUAGCAAACGGGCCGAUCAAUGGGCUCAUAUCCAGUGGUAAAACUCUACUCUAUAAUUGGCAUCAAAAGCAUUUAUCCAGUCCUUUGAUCUUAACACGGUGCAUAUUGCCCUUCUGUAAAAGAGGGACAUAAUAUAAUUUAAUAAUUAACAAAAUUCAAAGAAGUUACCUCAAACAGGAAGUAAUUGCAGAUGGUUUAAAUAAGAAUCGCAGCUGCAGAGCUUCACAAGUACCUUUGAAUGAAACAUUGAAUUGAUGUUGGACAAAUUGCUAACUCUGCUAACUAAAUUUUGACCCGACUGCAUUAUGCAAACAAAACAAAACAAAACAAAACAAAACAAAACAAAACAAAACAAAACAAAACAAAACAAAACAAAACAAAACAAAACAAAAACAAAAAAAACAACAACAACAACAACAACAACAACAAAAAACACGUUUUUAGAUUGAUAUCUUGAAGUCAGAUGUUCAGAUAAUAUCUUUCCGUUUAGAAUAACAUCUAAACACAUAGCAUGACACGCUGUGCUCACAAUCCUUAUAUAACACAAGAUCAUAUAAGCAUAUUUUCCACUUAUAUCUGUUUGACUGGUGCACAUUAAUCAUUUAUCUGUCAGAAGCCAUUUUAGUUGACUUCAGGUAUAUGCAGU
Long non-coding RNA from Cyprinus carpio carpio, 1762 nucleotides. Lineage: Eukaryota; Metazoa; Chordata; Actinopteri; Cypriniformes; Cyprinidae. The record is from Ensembl.